Molecule: ribosomal RNA, 443 nt
Filed under: uncultured bacterium
Lineage: Bacteria
Description: partial 16S ribosomal RNA
Rfam family: Bacterial small subunit ribosomal RNA
Source: RNAcentral
CCUACGGGUGGCUGCAGUGGGGAAUAUUGGGCAAUGGGCGCAAGCCUGACCCAGCAACGCCGCGUGAAGGAAGAAGGCUUUACGGGUUGAAACUUUCUUUCCCAGGGACGUAGAAUGUGACGGUACCGGAGGAAUAAGUCACGUCUAACUACGUGCCAGCAGCCGCGGUAAUACGUAGGUGGCAAGCGUUAUCCGGAUUUAUGGGGUGUAAAGGGAGUGUAGGCGGGAGGGCAAGUCAGAUGUGAAAACUCAGGGCUCAACCCUGAGACUGCAUUUGAAACUGUGUUUCUUGAGUGCUGUAGAGGCAAUCGGAAUUCGGUGUGUAGCGGUGAAAUGCGUAGAUAUACGGAAGAACACCAAUGGCGAAGGCAGAUUGCUAGACAGUAACUGACGCUGAGGCGCGAAAGCGUGGGGAGCAAACAGGAUUAGAUACCCCUGUAGUC